Molecule: long non-coding RNA, 152 nt
Organism: Juglans microcarpa x Juglans regia
Lineage: Eukaryota; Viridiplantae; Streptophyta; Magnoliopsida; Fagales; Juglandaceae
Exons: 4
Source: RefSeq, a predicted model, not a curated record
GAGGAGAAAUCCACUAUAAUAUUCUUGUUUACAAUCUCUCAUGGUCUCUCAUAUCUCACUAUACAAUGGUGAUGCUGAAUAUAAAUUUACUGGAGAAGAGGCAUUCACUGGAGCUCCUUGCGUAUUUGAAGGAGCUGUUGUAGAGGGAGAAG